CCUAAUUGACUCCUCUUUCCCGCCAUUUCCACAAUCCCUAAAAAUGUUUAAUCGUCGACAGUGUCUCUUCUCCCUUUUUAUCCAAAAAUCGUUAUAAUCCAAACUCCUUUUUGUAUCGCCAUUCAUAUAAUUGUUUUGUUUCUGUGGAUCUCUACUUUGAAAAGUGGUUCUUUUUUGUUUUUUGGGUUUAAUUGUUGCGGGAAAGAAAGAUGACGAGAGAAGAGAUCGAAAGCAGAGAAGAUGAAUCGAUGAUGGACGCACCACAGAUCAACAAGCCGAAACCAGAAGAGUUCUUCAACGUUAAUUACCUCCGAAUUUACUACGGCAAGAGUCCUUUCUCUUUCUUCACAUCAUUUUUGAUUUCUCUUCGCAAAUCAGAUCUCUUAAUUAUGCUUUAAUUAUUGAAUGCAGGAACAUAAUUUGGUAUAAAUAAAUAAUCUUAUAGUUUUGACAGCUAUUACUUUAUCAUUUUUUUUGUUUGCGUUCCAAAUAAAAUAAUAUAGGUAAACAUCUGUUUCAUGUUUGAAGAUCUUUUUGGCUCCCUCUUUUGGGCGAUUUUUUCUCUCUCUUUUCAUACGAGGAUUUUCUCGUUUUAAGGAAAGUAGGGCUUUUUGGUGAGAUUUUUUCCUCUUUUUGUGGACACACAAACAGAAAAUUUCCUUAUUUUGGGUGGAAAUCUUGGAUUUUUAGGUGUUUUUCAUUGGAAUUCCUAGGGUUCUUUACUAGCCGCCCUAGAUUUUUUCAAAAAUAAGAACAGAGAAGAUUUUCUCUUCUGCUUGGAGUAAUCAUGAAUCUUAACAGAGUGUUUGAGACGAUGUCUUUGGAGGAAGAAGAAGUUCCCUACGAUCUACCGGACCUACCGCAAUUCAGUGCAGUGGAAAACAAUAGGCUGAGCAUAAUUGGGAGAGCUUUAAAUCCUGAGAGUCAAAGGAUGAAGGACCUGAUCUUGGAUAUGCCUAGGAAGUGGCAAGUCUAUGAUAGGGUCCGUGGUGUGGCUUUAUCAUCUACUAUGUUUCAGUUUAUUUUUAAAUAUGAACAUGAUCUAGAGGAGGUGAUGCGUAAACGGGUUUGGACGUUUAAUGAGUGGAGUAUUGUGAUUGAUCGGUGGGUGGAGAAGCCACCAGAUGACUACUUGAAGUAUCUGUUGGUUUAUUCCGGUGAACCACUACACGAAAGAAGCUAUUGGAACUUUUGGUGAUUUCAUCGGCAAGGUAGAUGUGGUUGCCUUUGAUCCCAACAAAGCACAAAGUCAUGAUUACGUGAGGGUACGGGUCUUCUUUGAUGUCUCGCGACCUGUUAGGAAGACAAAAGUUAUCAAUCUACCGGGUGGGGGUACGGUAACUUUAAAGUACGAUUUUGAGAGGAUACAAAAACGAUGUUAUCACUGCCAACGCCUUACUCAUGAGAAAGAUAAGUGCCCACUGCUAAUUCAGGAGAGGAAGGAUAAAGCUUUGGAGCACAGGAAGAAUGCUUUGGCCGAGAAGCAGAAAAGAGAGCUGAUGAUUCAUCGAGACGACCCUCUCUAUGGAGUCUUGAGUGAUGAGCAAGUGGGUCUGGAUCCUGCUACUGGGAGACGUAAAAUUAACCCUGAGGUCCUACAAAAUAUGCGUGAGUAUCUCCUAGCGGCGGAAGGUGGAGAAAAGCGUGUGAGGGAGGAACGUGUGAGAACUUCUGUUGUGGAGCUGAGUGAUGAUCCGAAUGGUCAGAAGAUGUUCUUGAGACUGGAGGGCCCGCCUGUGGUGAUCUGUGAUUUAGACAAAGACAAAGGAGUAGUCUUUGACUAUGCUCUGAAGAAUGUGGAGAACCAAGUUGCACUACGAAGGUCGGAGGGUAAUGUUAACAAAAGCUUGGUGAUAAGGGAUUUUCAAUCAUCCGGACCUGACGUGUUCAAGGGGAAAGCUGUAGAUCAUCCCCUCUCUCCGGUCUUUUUUGAAUGUCCGACGGGUUUUAGCUCUGGAUUUUCAGAUGCUAACUCUUCCGGGACUUCACGACAUAAGGGAGGCAAGCGGUAUAGGCCACCAAAGAGGAUGAGGAAGUUUAAGCUGAAAUCUCCGGCUUCGGAGGGAGAUGAGGCCAAGGGGAGGAAUAUUGACGAUACUGGGGUUAAAAGUGCUUUCAAGAGAAGAGCUGAGGCUGUGGCAGGGGAAUUUUCUAGAGUUGCGAGAAGGUCAAAAUCAGAGGUGGUCCCAAUUGGGGGACUGCCCAAUCAAUAAUGUGGAUACUGAGUUGGAAUUGUCGAGGCUUGGGACGGUCUCAGGAUUCGACAAUUCCUCGUCUCAAGGAGAUACGUAAAAUAUAUUUCCCUGAGAUUGUGUUUUUGAUGGAAACUAAGCAACAGAAAGACAUGGUGGUUGAUUUGAAAGUGGUUUUGGGAUAUGAUAGAGUGAUGGUAGUGGAUCCUAUUGGUCUAUCGGGAGGUUUGGCUUUGAUGUGGAAACGAGAUGUGGUCGUAGAGGUGAAUUUUGCUGACAAGAAUAUCUUGGAUUGUCGGAUAAGUUACAGAGGUCAGAUUCUAUUUGUAACCUUUGUGUAUGGGGAGCCGAGUCAGCAAGGUAAAGGGAAAGUGUGGGAGAGAAUAAUGAGGUUGGGAGCAGGAAGGAAGGUGUGUUGGGGUUUGGUUGGUGAUUUCAACGAAAUUUUACAUAAUGGUGAGAAGAUUGGAGGUCCGAAAAGGGGCCCUGCAUCAUUUAUGGAUUUUGCUGCAAUGUUAGAGGUUUGCGAGAUGAAGGAACUUUCAGGUUUUGGUGAUAGUUUUACGUGGGCGGGAGUGAGAUACAAGAAGUAUAUUCAGUGUAAACUGGAUAGAUGCUUUGGGAAUAAGAAAUGGAGAAAUGCUUAUCCCAAGGCUACGCAGACUUUCAUGGAAAGGCUUGGCUCUGAUCACAGACCAGUGAUGGUCAAUCUCUUCUGUGAGAAGGACAGGAAGAGGGUUGCUUUUCGUUUUGAUAAACGCCUGGUUGGUAAAAAUAGGGUUGAGGAAACCAUAGGGGAAGCAUGGAAGAGGGCCAGGGGGAAUAACAAUUUAUCAAUUGUGGAAAGUCUGGGGGCUGUGCGGAAGUCUUGGAGAAAUUGGAAAAGGGAGAACAAUCACAACUCGAAUGAGCGAAUGCAGAAGCUCAGACAUGAACUGGAACUGGAAUCUUCUUCUACAUCGCCUUGUUGGGAGAGAGUGAAUGAAUUAAAAAUGGAGAUUGGAAAAGCUUUCAAAGAGGAGGAAGAAUUCUGGGCGCAGAAGAGUAAAGACAAGUGGUUUGUGGUGGGAGAUAAUAAUACAAGUUUCUUUCAUGCUUCUGUAAAGGCAAGUAGACAGAACAACCAGCUCUCUAAACUUGUUGAUGACGAAGGAAGAGAGAAUCUCUCAAUACCUCAAAUGGGAAAGACGGCUACAGACUAUUUUGAUAAGCUGUUUAAAUCAAAACCUUCGAAUGAGGUGAUGGGUUUUUUCACUGGUCUGCCGAUUAGGGUCUCAGAGAAUAUGAAUCAAAACCUGAUAAAGGAGGUCAGUGACGCGGAAGUUCGAGCGGCUGUUUUCUCUAUUAAGAAGUCGAGUGCUCCUGGAAGUGAUGGUAUGAACGGUUUGUUUUUCCAGGAAUAUUGGAGUAUUAUUGGUGUGGAGAUUGUGAAGGAGAUUAAGGCUUUCUUUAUUACUGGAGUUUUUCCAUUGGAGUGGAACCUUACGCAGAUUUGUCUAAUUCCAAAAAUCACAAAUCCCACGACAAUGGUUGAUCUGAGACCCAUUAGUUUGUGUUCCGUGUUAUACAAGAUAGUGGCUAAGAUUCUGGUGGCCAGGCUCAAACCGAUGCUGGAGCACAUUGUGUCACCCACACAAUCUGCAUUUAUACCUGAGAGAUUGAUUUCGGAUAAUAUUAUCAUAGCUCACGAGAUGGUACAUGGGUUGAGAACUCAUGAAAGGAUUGCCAAAGAGUUUAUGGCGAUCAAAACUGAUAUGUCGAAGGCAUAUGAUCGCAUUGAAUGGAAUUAUCUUGAAGGUUUAAUGACGGCGCUUGGUUUCCAUGCUAAGUUCCGAGAAUGGAUCAUGUAUUGUGUCCGAUCUGUCUCCUAUACUGUUCUUAUAAAUGGCGAGGAACAGGGAAAGGUGGUACCAAGUAGAGGUCUGCGACAAGGAGAUCCCCUGUCCCCUUUCCUAUUUGAUCUUUGUACAGAAGGGCUAUCCCACCAGUUGAAUGAGGCGGAAAGAAGAGGUGAGAUCACUGGAAUUCAGUUCUCAGAGGAUGGGCCGUCGAUUCAUCACUUAUUCUUCGCUGAUGACUCACUUUUGUUGUUAAAAGCAAAUGAAGUAGAGUGUAAUGUGGUCUGCAAGAUACUAAAGGAGUAUGAAGAGGUAUCUGGCCAGAUGAUCAGCUUCUCGAAAUCGGCCAUUACUUUUGGUAAGAAGGUUGAGGAAAAUACAAAAGUGAAGAUUAGAGAGAUCACUGGUAUUACAAAUGAAGGAGGAAUGGGGAAAUAUUUGGGUUUGCCAGAAUGUUUCAGUGGCUCCAAGGUUGACAUGCUUCAGUAUAUUCAUGAAAAAAUGACAUCGCGGUUCCACGGCUGGUAUGCUUUUUUCUUAUCAACGGGUGGAAAGGAGGUUCUACUCAAGUCAGUCACAAUGGCCAUGCCGGUUUUUGCUAUGUCAGUUUUUAAACUCCCGAAGACGACAUGUAAAAAUCUUACUAGUGCAAUGGCAAAUUUCUGGUGGAAUGCACAAGAUGGAAUAAAUAAGAUGCAUUGGGUCUCUUGGGAGAGGAUGUGUCUGGAUAAACAGGAUGGUGGCAUGGGUUUUAAGGAUUUAGAAAAAUUCAACCAGGCUCUGUUGGCAAAACAGGGGUGGCGGUUGCUUAUGGAGCCGGAAUCUUUGUGUGCAAGGGUGUUAAGAAGUAGAUAUUAUCCGGCUGGUGGCUUCUUGGAGGCAAGACUCGGACCUAGGCCUUCUUACGCGUGGAGAAGUAUAUUAUUUGGACGUGAGUUGCUGGUAAAAGGACUGCGUCGGAAUAUUGGAUCGGGGGAGAGUAUCAAUGUAUGGAUGGACAAAUGGCUCUUUGUUACGGAACCAAUGGCUCCAAUGAGGAAACAGAUUCUAUUUAAUCUUGAUCUUAGGGUUUGUGAUCUUAUUAAUCCACAGACAAGAGGAUGGGAUCGAGGGAAGCUGGAGGAAGUUUUUUUCUCGAGUGAUAUCGAGUUAGUUCUCAAAAUGAAGCCUGCUGUUGGUAAGGAGGAUUCUUAUGAGUGGGUCCAUAACAGAUGGGGAGCUUACUCUGUGAAAUCGGGGUACUGGUUGGCAUGUUCUCUGGACCAGUCAGAAGUGAGAGUGGCGGCUAGGAGUAAACCAUCAAUAAAUGAUCUGCGUAGCCAAGUGUGGAAGGUAGACACGGCGCCAAAAAUCAAAAUCUUUAUGUGGAGGGAUCUUUCAAAUGCUUUAGCCGCUUCAGAGGAGUGUAUUGCUCGUGGGAUGAAGGUGGACUCUAGAUGUCAAAGAUGUGGGGAAGAAGGAGAAACUAUUAAUCACGUCUUAUUCACAUGUCCUGCGGCUCGACUGGUAUGGGCGACGUCGGGGUUCCCCUUUCCGCAACGAGGUUUUGAACAUAGAUCUUUAUAUGAAAAUUUUAGCCAUCUGCUGAAUAUUGGAAAAGAUUCUAGAGUGCCAAAGGAUGUUAGUUGUUCUUUCCCGUGGAUUCUAUGGAUGUUGUGGAAGAACAAGAAUGCUUUUAUCUUUGAAGGAAAAGACUAUGAGGCAGAGGAUACGGUCAUGAAAUUUCGUGAGGAGUCCAGGCGAUGGACAAUGGUUACUGCAGAAGCAAAAGCGGAAACGGGGAGUAGGAAUCAGAGCCAAAUGAAUGGUAAAGGAUGGACAGCACCAGAGAGUGGAAGAGUGAAGUGCAAUAUUGGAAUCUCAUGGUCUAAAGCGACGUGUAUGGCUGGUUUGGGCUGGAUUGUAAGGAAUAGUGAAGGUCAAACUCUGCUUCAUAGCAGAAGAGCUUUUAAUGGUGUGUUGUCGCUUUUGGAGGCUAGACGUUUGGGUUUAAUCUGGUCAGCUGAGAGUAUGAUUUCUCAUAGAUUCCAGAAAGUGAAUUUUGAGCUGGAGGAUCAUGAACUGGUGGGCUCUAUGAAUAGACCUAAGGCAUGGCCAGCGUUCCGGGGGUACGGUGAGGAGUUAAGGGGUGUUCUGAAUAAUGUUACAGAUUGGAUGGUAAGUUCAGUAAAGAGAGAGGCAAACAAAGCUGCCUUUAUGAUUGCUCGGAGUGUGACAAAGGAAAUGAGAUACCAAUCAUAUGUAGCUCAAGGUAGCCCUUCUUGGUUGAGGAGCUUGCUUGCGGAGGAAGGUACAAGGUCAACAAGAGUAUAAGGUGACGCUAGAUGGAGGGUCUUUGAAAUGGAGGAGUUUUGGGUGGGAUAACGUGCUUUAGGCUGUCGUUUUCCUUUUUAAAUUUGAGUUGGUUGUGUUUUUCAUGGUUCUGUAGGAAUUUGUUUCUGGUUUUUAUUUCUCAAACAUUUAUCUCAGAGUUAAAAAAAAAAAAAGAGUUUGCUGUAUUCUAAACAUUAAUGGGCCCAAAUAAGUAAAGCCCGUUAUAAAUUGUCCCGCCUAAUUGACUCCUCUUUCCCGCCAUUUCCACAAUCCCUAAAAAUGUUUAAUCGUCGACAGUGUCUCUUCUCCCUUUUUAUCCAAAAAUCGUUAUAAUCCAAACUCCUUUUUGUAUCGCCAUUCAUAUAAUUGUUUUGUUUCUGUGGAUCUCUACUUUGAAAAGUGGUUCUUUUUUGUUUUUUGGGUUUAAUUGUUGCGGGAAAGAAAGAUGACGAGAGAAGAGAUCGAAAGCAGAGAAGAUGAAUCGAUGAUGGACGCACCACAGAUCAACAAGCCGAAACCAGAAGAGUUCUUCAACGUUAAUUACCUCCGAAUUUACUACGG
RNAcentral lists this long non-coding RNA (6904 nucleotides) under Brassica napus (rape). RNAcentral describes it as "long non-coding RNA (BNAP_LNC003565)". The record is from RNAcentral. Lineage: Eukaryota; Viridiplantae; Streptophyta; Magnoliopsida; Brassicales; Brassicaceae.